AGAUCUCUUCAUUGUCAGGUACCU
Molecule: non-coding RNA, 24 nt
Filed under: Arabidopsis thaliana (thale cress)
Lineage: Eukaryota; Viridiplantae; Streptophyta; Magnoliopsida; Brassicales; Brassicaceae
Source: RNAcentral